This 4159-nucleotide long non-coding RNA is filed under the name Sus scrofa (pig). Its description in RNAcentral is "lncRNA (ENSSSCG00050051174.1)". The record is from RNAcentral. Lineage: Eukaryota; Metazoa; Chordata; Mammalia; Artiodactyla; Suidae.
CUGAUCAAGCAAUUGCUGCUGGCCUGGCUUGAGAGUCCAUUUCUGGGAAAGCUGAAACAGUAACUAAGUUUCGGUUUGAUGAUGUGGGGCCUUGCAUGAGUGACUCCAUUUUGGGCCUAUUGUCUUAUUUUUAACAUAUGCCUGGGAGCCUCCAUACGCCGUGGGAGCGGCCCAAGAAAUAGCACAAAGACAAAUAAAUAGAAGUUCCCGUCGUGGCGCAGUGGCUAACGAAUCCGACUAGGAACCAUGAGGUUGCGGGUUCAGUCCCUGGCCUCGCUCAGUGGGUUAAAGAUCUGGCGUUGCAGUGAGCUGUGAUGUAGGUUGCAGAUGCAGCUCGGAUUCCGUGUUGCUGUGGCUCUGGCGUAGGCCAGUGGCUACAGCUCCGAUUCACCCCCUGGCCUGGGAACCUCCAUAUGCUGCGGGAGCGGCCCAAGAAAUAGCAAAAAGACAAAUAAAUAAAUAAAAUAAAAAUAAAUGGGUGCGAAGUGGUACCCGACUAUGGUUUUGAUGUGCCUCUCCCUCAUGGUGAACGAUAGUGAGCAUCUUUUCAUGAGUUCCUGGGCCGGCCACACAUAUCUUCUUUGGAGAAAUGUCUGCUCAAAUCCUUUGCCCAUUUUUUCUUUUUUCCAGUUGGUUUACUGGCCUUGUUUAUUGUUGAGUUUUUAGCAUUCUGUAGGUAUGCUGGACACAAGUUCCUUCUCAGACCGUUUUUGACUUUGAAGAAACAUCGAAAUCAGAUGGGAGCUGGGGUUGCAGCUUUAACCGUUGGUGGAGUUCAUUGCCAGGUGACAGAAACCUUGCGAAGAAUGCAUUUCAUCCCACGCAGAGGGUUCCUGCAGGGACAGACCCUGCAGGGGAAGCGUGCGGAUCUUUCUGGGCAGGCCUGGGCCCGCUCUCUUCAAUUACACCCCGUUCAAAAUCUCUGCCAAAGAGGAGUUUGAGAGAUGUAACAAGCUGGAGGAGGGUAGGGAUGCUGGUUGGUUAGUGUAUUGAAGGCAGAAUCGCCUGGGGAAUUUUUCAUUUCUGUUUUUUCUUUUUCAAGGAGCAUAGCCUUUUAUUUCUUGAGCAAAUGAGAUGGCACAGAGAAAAGUAUUUUGGAAUUACAAAGAGAUGCAAAAGUAAGGUGAUAUUCUUAUUGUGACUAUUGUUAGUUGUAGGAACCAAUGAAAACCCUCUCUCUGGGAGGAAAUCAGAGCCUGUGCGCAGGGGGAGAGCGGGCAGGGGGUUGGUGGUGGGGCGUGAGGGGGGAUAUGAGAGGAUGAAGAUGAAACCUAAAAGGGAGAGGACGGCGGUGGCAGAGUUUGCAAACCUUGGUUACCUGUGUGUGAGAUGAGAGUGACAUCUUCGUGAUUUCUGGCGUAUUCUGUCUAAUUAUCUACUUAAUAUUUUUCUUUAGAUGGGCUCCUAUUUCUUUUCCUUAAACAUAUAUUUAUAAAGGAAACAUAUCACAGUUAAAAAUGGCAAACCUGCAUCAUUUUCAAAACGGAAGGGACAGGACAAACCAAUAGAAGGAAAACCGCAGAGCGUCCUUAAGCUCUAGCUGGAGGGGUUGUUUCCGAGCCUGGAAAACUCUGCAGACUUCUCGGCCUGGCUCCCCUCUCCUGGUCCCUCAGGUCCCUGCCCCAAAGGCCUCUCUGCAGGCAGCUUCUCAAGCCCACCCACCUCCACCCUGGCUUUCCUUCUUUCAUAGCGCUUCGAUGAAUAGGUGUGGGUUUUCCUAUGGCUUCUGGCCUCCUCACACUGGCUGUCUCCACCGCCGGGCUCAGUACAUGGGUGUCGAGUAAGGAGUCACGAUAAACUCUGAGCGGCAGGUUAGAGUUUGAUCUGUGCCUGCGGCCCCUCCCACCUCAGAAACUGGAAGGCUGAGCGAGACUUGAGAAGGAGGCAGCCUUCUGGGGCCUGAUCCUGUGACCUUUCCCCAGGACCAGGGCACCCAGGCUCCAGUUCGUCCCCGGCCAGUAGCCAGCUGAGUGACCCCGCAGCAUCACUGAACCUGGCCAGCUUCCACCCUCCCCAGAGCUCCUGGAGCGUGACAGGUAGACACUCCUCCGACAGACACACCUGGCAGAGAAGCUGCUCAGUCCAUGAGAACAGAUGCUCAGAGGGUUUAUGGAAAAAGCGAUAAACCGUGGACUUUGCCUGCUAACAUCCUACCCUUUCUUCCAUGUCCGAUUUUAUUUAAUUCGUUUUUUGAAGUGAGAAUUUAAUUUGUGUGUGUGUGUGUCUUUUGUCUUUUUAGGGCCACACCCGCAGCAUAGGGAGGUUCCCAGGCUAGGGGUCGAAUUGGAGCUGAAGCCGCCGGCCUACACCACAGCCACAGCAACGCAGGAUCUGAGUCACGUCUUCGACCUACACCACAGCUCACGGCAUCGCCGGAUCCUUCACCCACUGAGCGAGGCCAGGGAUCAAAUGCUCGUCCUCAUGGACCUUAGGUUCACUAACACUGAGCCACGAUGGGAACUCCGGAAUUUAGUUUUUUAUUGAAGUAGAGUUGACUUACGUUGUUGUGUUAGUUUCAGGUAUAUAACAAAGUGAUUCAGUUACACACACAUAAAUGUCUGUUUUUUUCAGAUUCUUUUCCCGUAUUACAAAAUACUGAGUAGCGUUCCCUGUGCUAUGCCGUAGUCCUUGCUGGUUACCUAGUUAAUAGAUAGUAGUGUAUAUGCGAAUCCUCAACACCUCAUUUAUUCCUCGAUAGACUCACGGGCAUAGAAAACAAACUUAUUACCAAAGGGAAAGGAGGGGCGGGAGAAUACAGUUUUGAAAUUGCUCACAUUCAAUGUACAUCUACUUUGUCAGGCCCAGUUUUAAAGAGUAAUAGAGUUUACCUUUUACUGAGAACUCAUUAUGCCCCAGGCACCUUGCUAAAUAAGAGGUUUGUAUAUUUACCAUUUAAUGACAGCCUUGCAGGAGUCCUAUAAAGUAGGGAUUUAUUAUUCCCAUUUUACUGAUGAGGGAACUGAGGCUCAGAGGAGUUUUAUGACUUGCCCAAGGUGAUGCAGCAAGAAGUGAUGCAGCCAGCCCACAUGUUACCCACCACAUGUUAACACCCAUGUAAAUGUCACCACCUACGUGAAGAUUCCCACCCAGCCGUCUCUUCUUCUAAAUACUCAUAACGCAUAUGACCUCUGAGACGACACCUGCGCAGUUUCCCUUGGGGUGUGUGCACCUGCGUGCGUGUUUGUGCGUGUGUGCGCAUGUGUGUGGCAAGUAUUCGUUCCUCGAGGGCUGAGACAACCCUCACCAUCUGUCCCCAGAGUCAAGCCAAGCACCCGGGGUAGGUACCUCACCUGUCCUGUCAAGUAAAUAAGGACUCCUGGGUUUCUCCUGGGUUCUUCCUCUCCAUGGGGGACAGAGGAAGAGGAGCAACAUGGGUACAGGGACAAGGAUGCAGACACGGACACAACGAGGGUGGCUGUGCAGACCUGGGGACAGGACAGCUUUGGGGGGACCCUCCUGGCCUUCAGCGUUGAUGUCUAGGCUGGACCGCAUCAUUCUAGACUCACUCUCCAUUCUGUGCUCUGUGCCCACAGCAGACGGGAGGAAGGGGAGGGGGUGACACCGGGGUAUUGAUUCCAUGGGCAUAGGGCCAGGACUGGCAGCUGCCCUGUGCUUCCUAGCCCAGAUUCCAUACUGUCCUGGCUGGUUUCCACACACUCUGACCUUGACUUUGGAGAGUCCCUUUCUUAGACCCUCUGCCUAUUAUCCUCAUCUGAGUGUGCCCGUUGCUCCCUCGGGGACCUGACCGAUGGGGUAGAAGGCCCUUUUCUGUGCUCUUUGGGCCACUUUGUGACAUCAGGGUCCAAGCUGACUCAUCUCUGUGUCCCCACACCUGGCAUAGUGCUUGGGACUAAUGGUUCUAGUAGCUGAUACCUACCGAGCCCUUAUUAUGCACCAGGCCUCUUUACCCGUCUGAAUUCAGUCCUCACAACAAUCCCAUGAUCGCUGGCCCCAUUUUACAGAUGAGGAAACUAAGUAAGGCACAGAGAGACUGAGUAACUUGCUCAAGGUCACAUGUCUUGUCAUCAUGCAGCCGAUCUGGGAUUCGAACCCGGGCAGUGUGACUCCUGAGCCAACAGUAUGACUCUCACACCUUUUAUGGGCUGCCUUUCUGUCUGCUGUUCUGGGGGUGAUAUGGCCCCGAGGACCACAGGAAUCU